UACGUCCCUGCCCUUUGUACACACCGCCCGUCGCUCCUACCGAUUGGGUGUUCCGGUGAAUAACUCGGACUGCCGCAGUCUUCUGCUUCUGAAAACUGUGGCGGAAAGUGUGGUGAAUCUUAACACCUAGAGGAAGGAGAAGUCGUAACAAGGUUUCCGUAGGUGAACCUGCGGAAGGAUCAUUC
Molecule: ribosomal RNA, 185 nt
Filed under: Amyloodinium ocellatum
Lineage: Eukaryota; Dinophyceae; Thoracosphaerales; Thoracosphaeraceae
Description: partial small subunit ribosomal RNA
Rfam family: Eukaryotic small subunit ribosomal RNA
Source: RNAcentral